CCCCCCGGCCCGGGAUAGCCCAGGGAAACCUGGAUUAAUACCGGAUGAGACGGGACCCGCGAAGGCGGGACCCGGGAAAGGCGCUGCGGCGCCGCCGGGGGGAUGAGUCUGCGUCCCAUUAGCUAGACGCGGGGUAACGGCCCACCGUGGCGACGAUGGGUAGCCGGCCUGAGAGGGUGGACGGCCACAUUGGAACUGAGACACGGUCCAGACUCCUACGGGAGGCAGCAGCUAAGAAUCUUCCGCAAUGGGCGAAAGCCUGACGGAGCGAACCGCCGCGUGAACGAAGAAGGCCGUGAGGUUGUAAAGUUCUUUUCGGGAGGGGGAACAACCGUGGCAGGGAAUGGCCGCGGGAUGACGUGAAUCCCGGAAUAAGCCCCGGCUAACUACGUGCCAGCCGCCGC
Molecule: ribosomal RNA, 404 nt
Filed under: uncultured bacterium
Lineage: Bacteria
Description: bacterial SSU rRNA
Rfam family: Bacterial small subunit ribosomal RNA
Source: RNAcentral